Molecule: long non-coding RNA, 1369 nt
Organism: Strigops habroptila (Kakapo)
Lineage: Eukaryota; Metazoa; Chordata; Aves; Psittaciformes; Psittacidae
Exons: 2
Source: RefSeq, a predicted model, not a curated record
UCUCGCUGGUAAGUGGUUUUGGAUAUUUGGGGACAGUGUAAUGACAUUUUCAGACUUCAUCUGUUUGGAGAACAGAAUCCUGUUGUCCUUUGCUCUCUGGUGUCAGUGCAGCUCUGCUGGAGGACACUGGGUGCUGGAGCAGUGACCAGGCAGCAACUGUCUCUGCAGUUGCAAGGGGACUGUCCCCCACCCUGGAGGGACCUCUGAGGGGCUGUCAUCUUUACCAGUACAGCACAGAGCAGCGAGGAGUGAGGAGAGCACCAGGGAAGCCGAUGCUCCAGCGCCUUCGUUAUGGAUGGAGAGGUCCCUGCACAUCCCAUGGCAUGCACUGGGAAAUGGCAGUCGGGCCGGGGAAUGCUCUGUCCCAUGGCCUCGCCCAUGCCCGUGCCCCCCGGCGGGUCCUGCCCAGGUUCCCUCGGCAGAGCAGGCUUUCACAGCAGACACCCCGCCAGGGCUGGGCUGCUAGAGGGCACCCUGGGCCGUCCCACAGUGCACCCAUGGGUGGGACAGGCUGCUCCAUGGUUCCUCUGCACACACCACACAGCUCAUUGCCACCAGCAUGCUGCAGGGUGGGUGUCUGGAGGCAGGGCUGCAGCAUCCCCUCUGCGCUUGAGCAGGGACAGAGGGACUGCUGGGAGGUCCCUGGAAGGUUUUAUGGCUGCUGUGGGUUCCUUUUCACCCAUGACUCAUCCCAAGCAGGGAAGGAGUGAUCUUUUCCCCUUCAUCUGGCUGGAAAAGCUGGAUGGGGCUCCUGAAUCCCUGGGUUGGAGGUGCAUGUUGCAAGGCUGCAGAGGGAGCAACAGCAUCUCCACGGGGAAGUCCUUCUGCAUGGGAAGUGCUCCUUUCUUUAAGUUAUGACCCCAGAUUUACUGAUGUGUAGAUGUGGGUCCUAUCCCCGUUAUCCGUCUGGUUGCUCUCUGGAGAGGGAUCUCCCACUGGGUGAAACUCUCUCUGCAUGGUCAGGGUGGGAUCCCAGUGUCCCUGCCCACCCCGUGCUGGGGCUGGGGUCCUGUGAUCAAUCUGACCUAACUCCAGCUAGCUGAUAUCCACAAAGCUGAUUGCCAUGGGUGUACUGGGAGAUGGGGGAGAGGAUCCUGCAGCUUGUUUGAGACCUGGAGAAGCCCUGAGGAGGCCGGUCUCUCUCAGGACUGCUGAGGGAGCUGGGGCUUUUUCUGCCUCAUUUUUCAGAUGGGAUCUGCAUUGCUCAUCCCACUUUCUGCCCAGUUGUGCUGCAAAUCCUGUCGCUCACCCUUCCCUUCUCCCUCACCACCCCAGCCUGUCUGUCCUAGGUGCUGGGUGGUGGUUAAUGUCUUCAUUGAUGAUCUGGAUGAGAGGAUCGAUGGCACACUCAAUAAAUUUGUAAAUGACA